RNAcentral lists this ribosomal RNA (482 nucleotides) under uncultured bacterium. Its description in RNAcentral is "partial 16S ribosomal RNA". It matches the Rfam family "Bacterial small subunit ribosomal RNA", at positions 30 to 507 of the family's 1533-position model. The record is from RNAcentral.
AUUGAACGCUGGCGGCAUGCUUUACACAUGCAAGUCGAACGGUAACAGGCCGCAAGGUGCUGACGAGUGGCGAACGGGUGAGUAAUGCAUCGGAACGUGCCCAGUCGUGGGGGAUAACUACUCGAAAGAGUAGCUAAUACCGCAUACGAUCUAUGGAUGAAAGCGGGGGACCGUAAGGCCUCGCGCGAUUGGAGCGGCCGAUGUCAGAUUAGGUAGUUGGUGGGGUAAAGGCUCACCAAGCCAACGAUCUGUAGCUGGUCUGAGAGGACGACCAGCCACACUGGGACUGAGACACGGCCCAGACUCCUACGGGAGGCAGCAGUGGGGAAUUUUGGACAAUGGGCGUAAGCCUGAUCCAGCAAUGCCGCGUGCAGGAAGAAGGCCUUCGGGUUGUAAACUGCUUUUGUACGGAACGAAACGGCUCUGGUUAAUACCCGGGGCUAAUGACGGUACCGUAAGAAUAAGCACCGGCUAACUACGUG